GACGAACGCUGGCGGCGUGCUUAACACAUGCAAGUCGAACGGAAAGGCUCCAGCUUGCUGGAGUACUCGAGUGGCGAACGGGUGAGUAACACGUGGGUAAUCUGCCCUGCACUCUGGGAUAAGCCUGGGAAACUGGGUCUAAUACUGGAUAUGACCUUUCUCCUUAUGGGGUUUGGUGGAAAGUUUUUCGGUGUAGGAUGAGCCCGCGGCCUAUCAGCUUGUUGGUGGGGUGAUGGCCUACCAAGGCGACGACGGGUAGCCGGCCUGAGAGGGUGAUCGGCCACAUUGGGACUGAGAUACGGCCCAGACUCCUACGGGAGGCAGCAGCGGGGAAUAUUGCACAAUGGGCGGAAGCCUGAUGCAGCGACGCCGCGUGAGGGAUGACGGCCUUCGGGUCGUAAACCUCUUUCAGCAGGGACGAAGCGUAAGUGACGGUACCUGCAGAAGAAGCACCGGCUAACUAUGUG
This 467-nucleotide ribosomal RNA is filed under the name uncultured bacterium. RNAcentral describes it as "partial 16S ribosomal RNA". It matches the Rfam family "Bacterial small subunit ribosomal RNA", at positions 28 to 507 of the family's 1533-position model. The record is from RNAcentral.